AAAAACAUACAAAACAGAAAACCAAAAAC
RNAcentral lists this small RNA (29 nucleotides) under Arabidopsis thaliana (thale cress). Its description in RNAcentral is "ATSL184040". The record is from RNAcentral. Lineage: Eukaryota; Viridiplantae; Streptophyta; Magnoliopsida; Brassicales; Brassicaceae.